This 495-nucleotide ribosomal RNA is filed under the name uncultured bacterium. Its description in RNAcentral is "SSU rRNA". It matches the Rfam family "Bacterial small subunit ribosomal RNA", at positions 26 to 518 of the family's 1533-position model. The record is from RNAcentral.
AGAUUGAACGCUGGCGGCGUGCCUAAUACAUGCAAGUCGAGCGGUAACAGGUGUAGCAAUACAUGCUGACGAGCGGCGAACGGGUGAGUAAUGCUUUGGAAUCUUCCCAGUAGUGGGGAAUAACCAGUCGAAAGAUUGGCUAAUACCGCAUACGUCUGUAAAGGGAAAGCGGGGGCUCGUAAGACCUCGCGCUAUUGGAUGAGCCAAAGUCGGAUUAGCUAGUUGGUGGGGUAAUGGCCUACCAAGGCGACAAUCCGUAGCUGGUCUGAGAGGACGACCAGCCACACCGGAACUGAGACACGGUCCGGACUCCUACGGGAGGCAGCAGUGGGGAAUAUUGGACAAUGGGGGAAACCCUGAUCCAGCGACGCCGCGUGUGUGAAGAGGCCUGCGGGUUGUAAGCACUUUUAGUGGGGACAAAAGCUACGGAUUAAUACUCUGUGGUCUUGAUUUAACCCAAAGAAAAGCACCGGCUAACUCUGUGCCAGCAGCCGC